GUGACUCUUUCGCCAAUGAAUCGUUUCAAAGAGUAAAUGGGGCUGUCACAUCCAGAUGAGGAUACUGUAUAGGAUUUGACUCUGUCAACAAACCCUAAGCUUUUAGGGAAAGGGAGUGGAUAACAUGUUGGACGAUGUCUACGGGAGUUGACUGCGUGUCUUUCAAUGUGGAAGGUGGCGCUGCAACUCAGAGCAUGUCAUCCUUUGAAGGGGACCGAAAGCUGGCCAUCUUCACUUAUCUUGGAUCUUCUGCCUUCAGUCUAUAUGGCUGACUAUGACUAUGCGAGAUGGUUCACCAACUACCUGCAGCUCCUCUUCAUUUGUCAUCCUCUCUAUCCAGCUGCAUCGCAUGUCUUUGAAGUUGUCAAGGCCUGUGGGUACAAGAACACAGCUGCUGUGAGAAGACCAAGUUUGCAAUUGUCAACUUUUCUAUAUGGAAAUUUUCCAAGGGUUUUGUGGUUUUUUUAUUUCCUGUGAUAUUGGCUUUGGGUUGCAUCAGAAUGUAAAAUUUCACCUAAACCUUUCUUCCCCACCUAAAGGUACUAAUGUUAUCAGUCAG
This 559-nucleotide long non-coding RNA is filed under the name Eptatretus burgeri (inshore hagfish). Its description in RNAcentral is "lncRNA (ENSEBUG00000017205.1)". The record is from RNAcentral. Lineage: Eukaryota; Metazoa; Chordata; Myxini; Myxiniformes; Myxinidae.